Ornithorhynchus anatinus (platypus) is the source of this 403-nucleotide long non-coding RNA. RefSeq lists it as uncharacterized. The transcript is spliced from 3 exons. The record is from RefSeq and is a predicted model, not a curated record. NCBI's taxonomy places the organism in Eukaryota, Metazoa, Chordata, Mammalia, Monotremata, Ornithorhynchidae.
ACUUUGGUGCUGAGCAGAAAGGGGACAGGAACUGCCCUGCUGUCCUGAGCCUUCUUCUGUCUGCCGCCUCUUUCUCCUUCCUCCAGGAGAAGAGAGAUCCUGUCGUCAGCCUUCUGAACACGGACGCCUCGGCACUUACCAUGGAGUCCAUUCCUAAAUCUGGAGACGAGGAAAUUCCUAACCCUGCGUUGCUGCAAAACAUGUUUUUGGGAAGUCGCUUUAAAUAAGCCUGGACUCAACGCACUAUUUAGAGACACGGAGAGCAAGCCGAGGGUUGCUAACUGCUGGCCGCCCUGCAGAAGAAGAAGAAGAAGAAAAAGAAGAAUGGUGUUUGUUAUGUGCAAGGCACAUAAAAGAAGUAGCGCAGCUCAAUGGAAAGAGCCGGGGCUUGGGAGUCGGAGGA